Molecule: ribosomal RNA, 805 nt
Filed under: Tricharina sp.
Lineage: Eukaryota; Fungi; Ascomycota; Pezizomycetes; Pezizales; Pyronemataceae
Description: partial large subunit ribosomal RNA
Rfam family: Eukaryotic large subunit ribosomal RNA
Source: RNAcentral
GCCUUAGUAACUGCGAGUGAAGCGGCAAAAGCUCAAAUUUGAAAUCGGCGUCCUUUUCGGGCAUCGAGUUGUAAUUUGGAGGGAUAACUUCGGUACGGACUACAUCGUAAGUUCCUUGGAACAGGACGUCAUAGAGGGUGAGAAUCCCGUGUCUUGGUGUUUGGCCGUGCCAUGUGAAGUGUCUCCGACGAGUCGAGUUGUUUGGGAAUGCAGCUCAAAAUGGGUGGUAAAUUUCAUCUAAAGCUAAAUAUUGGCGAGAGACCGAUAGCGCACAAGUAGAGUGAUCGAAAGAUGAAAAGCACUUUGAAAAGAGAGUUAAAAAGUACGUGAAAUUGUUGAAAGGGAAGCGCUUGCGACCAGACUCGAUCUUUGGUGAUCAGCCGGGCUUCGGUCCGGUGCCCUCACCAUUGAUUGGGCCAGCAUCGGUUCUGACGGCGGGAUAAAAGGAGGAGGAAUGUGGCUCCCUUCGGGGAGUGUUAUAGCCUCCUUCACAAUGCCGCCAGUUGGGACCGAGGACCGCGCUUCGGCUAGGAUGCUGGCGUAAUGGUCUUAAGCGACCCGUCUUGAAACACGGACCAAGGAGUCUAACAUCUAUGCGAGUGUUCGGGUGGAAAACCCUUGCGCGUAAUGAAAGUGAACGGAGGUGUGAACCCUUUACCGGGUGCAACAUCGACCGGUCCUGAUGUCUUCGGAAGGAUCUGAGUAAGAGCAUAGCUGUUGGGACCCGAAAGAUGGUGAACUAUGCCUGAAUAGGGUGAAGCCAGAGGAAACUCUGGUGGAGGCUCGCAGCGGUUCUGACGUGCAA